CGCGACCCGCGGACCCGUC
Molecule: ribosomal RNA, 19 nt
Filed under: Procris wightiana
Lineage: Eukaryota; Viridiplantae; Streptophyta; Magnoliopsida; Rosales; Urticaceae
Description: partial 18S ribosomal RNA
Source: RNAcentral